GACGAACGCUGGCGGCGUGCUUAACACAUGCAAGUCGAACGAAGAGCGACGGAAGCUUGCUUCUAUCAAUCUUAGUGGCGAACGGGUGAGUAACACGUAAUCAACCUGCCCUUCAGAGGGGGACAACAGUUGGAAACGACUGCUAAUACCGCAUACGAUCUAAUCUCGGCAUCGAGGAUGGAUGAAAGGUGGCCUCUACAUGUAAGCUAUCACUGAAGGAGGGGAUUGCGUCUGAUUAGCUAGUUGGAGGGGUAACGGCCCACCAAGGCGAUGAUCAGUAGCCGGUCUGAGAGGAUGAACGGCCACAUUGGGACUGAGACACGGCCCAGACUCCUACGGGAGGCAGCAGUGGGGAAUCUUCCGCAAUGGACGAAAGUCUGACGGAGCAACGCCGCGUGAGUGAUGACGGCCUUCGGGUUGUAAAGCUCUGUUAAUCGGGACGAAAGGCCUUCUUGCGAAUAGUGAGAAGGAUUGACGGUACCGGAAUAGAAAGCCACGGCUAACUACGUG
RNAcentral lists this ribosomal RNA (510 nucleotides) under uncultured bacterium. RNAcentral's name for it is "partial 16S ribosomal RNA". It matches the Rfam family "Bacterial small subunit ribosomal RNA", at positions 28 to 507 of the family's 1533-position model. The record is from RNAcentral.